GCUCCUCUGACGUUAGCGGCGGACGGGUGAGUAACACGUGGAUAACCUACCUAUAAGACUGGGAUAACUUCGGGAAACCGGAGCUAAUACCGGAUAAUAUAUUGAACCGCAUGGUUCAAUAGUGAAAGACGGUUUUGCUGUCACUUAUAGAUGGAUCCGCGCCGCAUUAGCUAGUUGGUAAGGUAACGGCUUACCAAGGCAACGAUGCGUAGCCGACCUGAGAGGGUGAUCGGCCACACUGGAACUGAGACACGGUCCAGACUCCUACGGGAGGCAGCAGUAGGGAAUCUUCCGCAAUGGGCGAAAGCCUGACGGAGCAACGCCGCGUGAGUGAUGAAGGUCUUCGGAUCGUAAAACUCUGUUAUUAGGGAAGAACAAAUGUGUAAGUAACUAUGCACGUCUUGACGG
Molecule: ribosomal RNA, 408 nt
Filed under: Staphylococcus epidermidis
Lineage: Bacteria; Bacillati; Bacillota; Bacilli; Caryophanales; Staphylococcaceae
Description: bacterial SSU rRNA
Rfam family: Bacterial small subunit ribosomal RNA
Source: RNAcentral